RNAcentral lists this ribosomal RNA (403 nucleotides) under uncultured bacterium. RNAcentral's name for it is "bacterial SSU rRNA". It matches the Rfam family "Bacterial small subunit ribosomal RNA", at positions 354 to 774 of the family's 1533-position model. The record is from RNAcentral.
GUGGGGAAUAUUGGACAAUGGGCGAAAGCCUGAUCCAGCCAUGCCGCGUGAGUGAUGAAGGCCCUAGGGUUGUAAAGCUCUUUUGUGCGGGAAGAUAAUGACGGUACCGCAAGAAUAAGCCCCGGCUAACUUCGUGCCAGCAGCCGCGGUAAUACGAAGGGGGCUAGCGUUGCUCGGAAUCACUGGGCGUAAAGGGUGCGUAGGCGGGUUUCUAAGUCAGAGGUGAAAGCCUGGAGCUCAACUCCAGAACUGCCUUUGAUACUGGAAGUCUUGAGUUCGGGAGAGGUGAGUGGAACUGCGAGUGUAGAGGUGAAAUUCGUAGAUAUUCGCAAGAACACCAGUGGCGGAGGCGGCUCACUGGCCCGAUACUGACGCUGAGGCACGAAAGCGUGGGGAGCAAACA